This 1329-nucleotide long non-coding RNA is filed under the name Felis catus (domestic cat). Its description in RNAcentral is "lncRNA (ENSFCAG00000047759.1)". The record is from RNAcentral. Lineage: Eukaryota; Metazoa; Chordata; Mammalia; Carnivora; Felidae.
AAUCAAGUAAUAGCUCUUUUCCUCCAAGCCUCUCCUGGUUGAUAAGGCGAUCAAGAGAUAGGGAGAUGUGUGAGACGGAGGGUGUGUUGCACGCAUGGGAGGUAGUAUUGCACACUGGUUAGUAUAGUACACCGCACGCACAGGGUCUGACCACACAGUCAGGAAUCCUGAUUCUGCCAUUUAAUGACUGCAUGACCCAGCAAGUGAUUUUAAUUCUUCGGGCCUCAGUUUUCUGAUCUGUCCAAAGAGCUUAAUAGCGGUGACUUCCAUAUAGGGUUGUGUGGGAGUGAUGCGUGCCCCGAAGCGCUUGAUAUGCUAUAAGCACGCAAAUAUUAGGUCCUUCCUAAGGAAGGUACAAGAUUAUUGGGUUGGAUCUUUAGCUCCUCUUCCUUGCGUUGCUGCAUAGCACAUGUCACAUUUCUUUCAAAGCCACCUGACGACUUCACUCUUUCCUCGCUAAGCUCUGACUCACCCUGGGGAAGCAACCGUGUCUUCGUCAUCUUUGUCUCCUGCGAAUGGUGCCUGGUAUGAGGAAGACCCUGGGGUGGGUAUCUAUGGUGAGAGUCUGCAGAUAAAGCUUUGGCAGUGUGGAAGCCAUAUUUGUAUUCCAGUUAGUGAGAACACGGGCUCUGGAGCCAGACUGCCUGGCCCUGUUCUCCUCUUUGACACUAUCUGUGUGACCUUAGGCCACUUACUUGGCCGCCUUUCCCCCUCAACAUCCUGCCUUGUAAAAAGGGGGAAAGUAAUGGAAUCUAACGCAUGCGGCUGCUAUAAGGAUUAGAUGAGAUGGUACGUAGAAAGCACCCUGGGUGCAGCCUGGCUUGUUGUAAGCUCUCGAUAAAUGUUAGCGACUAUUAUGGCUGCUAUGACAAAUUCCGUGCUACGUGUCAUGUCUGAACUCACCUAAUUUCCAUGGCAGUCCCAGUGGUGGAUGUUGUUAUCCUGCUUCACAGAUGAAGAAACCGAGAGGUUGCGGAGUAAAGCUGCGCAUCCGGCAUGUGGCUGAGCCGAGACGCAAUGCCACAUCUACUGGUUUGGGGGCCGAGCGUGCAGCUUCUAGUGUCUGCUCCUCAUGGGGGUGCAAAGCAGGGUCGGCAGGUGACACCUGAAACCAGCUACAGACCCAUCCACUCGCUGGCUCGUCCAGGCUGGUCUUGGUUCCAGCUCCCUGGUCCCUGAAUCUUGGACAAGCUUUCUGUGGUCUGAGCCUUGCCCGUGUCAUCCUGAGAUGGGUGUGGCAGCGUCAUUCUCAUGUGGCUGCAGUCAGGAUCAAGAGGCCCUUCAGAGACAUGCAAUAAAUAUGAGUUUCCCUGCCUUUAAUGUUUGAGC